This 488-nucleotide ribosomal RNA is filed under the name uncultured bacterium. Its description in RNAcentral is "partial 16S ribosomal RNA". It matches the Rfam family "Bacterial small subunit ribosomal RNA", at positions 29 to 507 of the family's 1533-position model. The record is from RNAcentral.
AUGAACGCUAGCGGCAGGCUUAAUACAUGCAAGUCGAGGGGCAGCAGGACUGUAGCAAUACAGUUGCUGGCGACCGGCAAACGGGUGCGGAACACGUACGCAACCUACCCAAAACUGGGGGAUAGCCCGGGGAAACCCGGAUUAAUACCUCGUAACCUUUUUAAGUGGCAUCACUUGAUAAGUAUAGCUCCGGCGGUUUUGGAUGGGCGUGCGCCUGAUUAGGUAGUUGGUGCGGGUAACGGCCCACCAAGCCUGCGAUCAGUAACUGGUGUGAGAGCACGACCAGUCACACGGGCACUGAGACACGGGCCCGACUCCUACGGGAGGCAGCAGUAAGGAAUAUUGAUCAAUGGACGCAAGUCUGAACCAGCCAUGCCGCGUGAAGGAUGAAGGUCCUCUGGAUUGUAAACUUCUUUUAUGGGGGACGAAACCCGGAUAUUCUUAUCCGAUUGACGGUACCUCAGGAAUAAGCACCGGCUAACUCCGUG